GCUACCAUGCAGUCGACGGUAGCACAGAGAGCUUGCUCUCGGGUGACGAGUGGCGGACGGGUGAGUAAUGUCUGGGAAACUGCCUGAUGGAGGGGGAUAACUACUGGAAACGGUAGCUAAUACCGCAUAACGUCGCAAGACCAAAGAGGGGGACCUUCGGGCCUCUUGCCAUCAGAUGUGCCCAGAUGGGAUUAGCUAGUAGGUGGGGUAACGGCUCACCUAGGCGACGAUCCCUAGCUGGUCUGAGAGGAUGACCAGCCACACUGGAACUGAGACACGGUCCAGACUCCUACGGGAGGCAGCAGUGGGGAAUAUUGCACAAUGGGCGCAAGCCUGAUGCAGCCAUGCCGCGUGUAUGAAGAAGGCCUUCGGGUUGUAAAGUACUUUCAGCGGGGAGGAAGGUGUUGUGGUUAAUAACCACAGCAAUUGACGUUACCCGCAGAAGAAGCACCGGCUAACUCCGUGCCAGCAGCC
RNAcentral lists this ribosomal RNA (474 nucleotides) under uncultured bacterium. RNAcentral describes it as "bacterial SSU rRNA". It matches the Rfam family "Bacterial small subunit ribosomal RNA", at positions 48 to 516 of the family's 1533-position model. The record is from RNAcentral.